Topomyia yanbarensis is the source of this 718-nucleotide long non-coding RNA. RefSeq lists it as uncharacterized. NCBI's taxonomy places the organism in Eukaryota, Metazoa, Arthropoda, Insecta, Diptera, Culicidae. The transcript is spliced from 4 exons. The record is from RefSeq and is a predicted model, not a curated record.
GUUUAAAAGUUAAGUGAGGGUGAAGAAAUCGACCUGAAACCGCAAAUCUGGAAAAAUAAGGAUAUGUCUGGAAUGUUGGCACCACUGGUUUUAAUUGUUUUUGUUUUGUGUUCUUGGAUCACACUUGACUGUAAUAUCAAAGUUCCAGGAAAGAUUUUGAUAAUAUUUCGAUUCCGGAUGAUUGGCUUUACCGCGAAGGACAUUUUCUCCCAGGUAUUCUACUGUAGACCCUACUGUAGUGUGGCAAAAGGACCAUGUACUCGAGAGUCGAUUCGAGAUUUAUGCGACAUGUUUGCAGUACUUAUCCGGGGUCAGGAGGAUGUCCAAAUGUGCAAUAAAUAAUAUACAGUGCAGCAGCAAUCAUGCGUACCACAUUCUUCGGUUUAUGGCCGGGCAAGUUCACAGCCAAUCAAUGUGGGAUAAAACGUUUAAGAACCGAUUACAAUACUGAAUAAUGUAUGUGGCGAUAUUAGCAAUGGCUUACUUCAACAGACAUGUGUUACUAAUAUUUGUGGAAUUGCAUCGUGCAGUCAUGAUUCCAACAAACUUCGCAGCGGAUUUUAAUGUGACGACCUAUCCCGAACAGCUGAAAUGAAAUGCUUUUUUCUAAAGAGUUACUAUUCUAUGAACACAUUUCAUAGAUGCCUAAGUGAAAAUAGUAACGAAUUAUUGAUCUUUAGUUGUAGUACACUACCUUUCUUCACAUAACUGUCCUAUA